RNAcentral lists this long non-coding RNA (217 nucleotides) under Lathyrus oleraceus (garden pea). Its description in RNAcentral is "Pisum sativum (pea) long non-coding RNA (PSAT_LNC009980)". The record is from RNAcentral. Lineage: Eukaryota; Viridiplantae; Streptophyta; Magnoliopsida; Fabales; Fabaceae.
CAAAUAUGGUUUGAACCAAAGAAUAAUAUGGUUUGACUCCAAAAAGGUAUGAAAUCUAAACCAGAGAGUAAAACUGACAUUAACUAAUAUGUGGGGAGCCUAAGGCAUGUAAUCACUAUAUGGAAUGACCGAAAAAAAAAGGGAAUUAAAUGUUUGGCAUCAAGGAAAAUAUCUCUCGGUUCAAAGGCAGACACUAGAUGGAGCUCAAAGAAAUAAU